This 8494-nucleotide long non-coding RNA is filed under the name Capsicum annuum. RNAcentral describes it as "long non-coding RNA (CANN_LNC012024)". Lineage: Eukaryota; Viridiplantae; Streptophyta; Magnoliopsida; Solanales; Solanaceae. The record is from RNAcentral.
UUUUGUUUUAUCCAAAUAACAAACCCUAAUUAAUUUUGUUUUAUCUUACAGAUUUUAAUAACUCACCCAAUCAAAAAUAGACACCUAACGCUUACCCCUCCAUUUAAAAAGUAAUACCUCACCCCAUAUGACCCCCAACCCCUCACGUCUUAUUCAAGGGGAGAUUAAUUCAUAAAAGAAAAAGGUAGGGCCCCACAAAAAAGGAAGCUUCCUGGAAGGAGCAUUUUAUUUUUGGACACAAUAUAAAAGAAAAGCAAAAAGAAAAAUAAAGAUGGUAAAGGGAGGGGUCCAGGAGAAAACUUCCUAAAAAAAAAAGGACCAAUUGGGCUUUCAUUUUAAAAAGGGGAGGAUGGAGAGAGGCUUCUUCUUGAAAGAAAGAGGGCACGAAAAAGAGAGAAAAAAUAUAGCUUAGACUCCAUUUUUGUUUUCGUUUUCAUUCUUCUGUUUCUUGAAAAAUCGCAUAUACCACACAAGAAAUGGACUGAUAGAGAGAGAGAUUCAUGGAGAGGGAGAGAGAACGCAGGUUUCAUGGGUGGUUUACUAUUCCGGUGAUAGACUCGCCGGAGACGCGUCGAAGUCGUUGCUAACAUGUUCGAAUUCCUCAGAACCCGGUCCAAACUUCUCACUCUCACGUUUUUUUUUAAAUUAGUUUUCUUUUUUUUUCUUUUCGUUUGAGGUUCCAUUGCGUAUUCGAGUGUUGGGAUUCUUCUGUUUUGCGCUCUCAUCGUCGAAAUCAGGUCAGGGUCCGACUUGUUUUGGGAUUGUUUUGGUCGUUGUCCUCUCACUGGAGUGUCGUUUCGAUCGAGUUCAGUUCUCAAUAGGAUUUUAAGGGUGCUUCGAUUUUGUUUGUUGUGGGAUUCAUUAUCAACAUCAUGUUUGGGGGUUUCCGAGACCAAGUCGAGUCAAUAUUUGGUUUGGGUUUCAUAUUGCUUUUUUUUACUGGUUUGAAAUCUGUUCGGAAGGCGGUUUUUGGUCACUGAUCGACUUUGCUUGACAUUGGGGUUCUCCGUUGGAGGAUUUCGGUUCUCGAAUUUCUUUAUUAUCGACGAGGAAUACAAGUUUUAUUGAGGUCCAUCUCUUAACUCGUUCUCUUUUUCUUAUUUUGGUUGGUUGAAUUAGUUAUUAUUGUUAUUUUGUUGAUCAUGAUUGUUUGAUUUUGUCGAUGUUUAUGCUUUCGAUGAUGAAGUUUGAGUGAUGUUGAUUUGUUGAAUAGACGGUUGUGAAUUGUUGAAAUAGUAAUCUUGAAUUGUGAAAAUUUGAUAUAAGAAAGGAAUUCAGGGAGUAAGAAGUUGUUAAAAGUUUAAUGUAGUUAUAUUUUGGUUCAUUGUCGUUUUGUUCAAUUCGGAAUAAGCAUGAAUAUGAUGGAUUUAUGAUACAGUGAAACAGAUAGGCAAUAUAGGUUCGGGUAGGGAAAUUUUAGAACUUAUUGUUUCUAUUGAAUGUUGGAAUGUGCGUAUGAAUGUUUCUUUCUAGUUUGUCGUAUUUAAUUCAAAAUGUAUUCAUUUAAUUGGGGAAUGCCUCGAGACACAUUGUAUUUAUUCACCGGAGAAUGUCCCGACGUACUAUGUUGGCGGAAGACGUUCGUGAGGAAGGCCCGAGGAGUCGGGUAAAGCACGGGAGCGUAGUUAGAAUUAACGUAGGUUAGAUAGGAUUUAUUUUCGCAUUUUUUAUUUUUGGACUGUAUAAUUUGGAUUGGACAUAUAUUUUUUACUCGUUUUGUUUUGGUUUGUUGGUUUGUUUGUUUUACGUGUUUUGUGUGGUUUAUACAUUCGUAGUGUUAAAUUAGUCGAUAUGCUCCACCAAGCGAUCGUGGUCGAACCACGGGAUCGAGGGGUGCCUAACACCUUUCCCUCGGUCAACAGAAUUCCUUAGCCGGAAUCUCUGUUCGUUGAUCAGUUUUAUAGAGUCAAAACCGUUUUGAAAAAGGAUAUCCAAAGGUGACUUGACAUACCUGAUUUAUGCCAAGUGGCGAUUCUGAGUUUUGAAUAUAAUGAAUCAUUUUCAAAAAAAAUUUUCAUCUUUUGUCACCUAAUAAUAAAAAUCUUUUUGAACUUAAAAUCCGAAUCUUUUUGGAGAAACAAAAGGGGGUGUGACACUUAGGGUCACCGCGAUGCGGAGCCAUCACAUUGUCCCACUGGUUGGGACCUAAAGCUUCAGCAUGACGCGCCUCAAUCGCGCUAGGCUACUUAAAUUUGACAAUUGUUAAAUAGACCCCCUCCGCGACGCGCCAAACACCAAAAUGAUGGUGUUUUACGACUAGGACUUAAAUUAGCCAUAACUACUUGUCCGGGUAUCGGAUUUGGGCGAAUCUUAUAUCGACGGAAAGCUCAUUCAAUUUUUCACAUGAUAAAAAGUUGAAAUUAGGGAAACUAUAUGUGGUUUAAACUUUACUCACUUUGAAAGUCAAAAAUGAGACUAAGUCUCUUUGACACCAUUCUAGUCAUUUAACUCUAAGAGCAUAUUACCACGAGCUAACGCAUUGACGAUGCGGGGCGUUACAUUGUCAAAAGUAUUUCACCAUAGUUCUUAAAGCCCAGAACGAUUCUAGGUUCCAUGUCUAAAGGGACAUUAAAUUCCUUGCUCCAUGACUUGACAACACCAUACUCUUUCAUUACCCAUUACCCAAAUAGAACAAUACCAAAUCCAAGAAUAAUUGUCGUCGUGAUAUAUAAUGCAAUAAAGUUUCAUCUAUUGAUGUAUAGAGAAGUAUCUAAAAAUUGUAUGCAUAGGGAUUUUUGAAAGAAUAGUUUGCUGAGUGUGUAGUCGAAUGAAUUUGGGGUUCGAGAAAUAUGAGUUCCACGAUUUUGAUGUACAACUCAAUUGGAGAAGAGAUUCUAGUGCUAUCCUUGAGAGUAUUUUGGACAAUCAGUUCUCCACGGAUAUGAUUUGAGAUUUUUGUCAGAGGCUUAAACUUGAGAUAUUUCCUUUUCUUUUUCUUUUCUGUUUUACAGAAGAAAAGGUUGGGGAGUGAGGAAGAAGUUAAAAAGAUGAAGCAAGCUUCAAAUUUUGGUUUUUAAAAAGCAGUAGGCUUUUAAAGUUUUACUCCUGGUGAAGAAAGCUUCAAAAGUAUAUUGGUUCCUAGAGUACUACUACUUUUAUACAAGAUAGAGUACGGACAAAAUUUUGUACCAGAGAUAAAUAAAUGCAUGCCAAUCUGAGAAGGUGGUCUAAUUUUCCAGCUUGGCAUGGUAACUGAGGGCUGGGUAUAGAUUUUCUUUUAUACUUCGCCCACCAAUAGCAAAAUGGAGUAAAUAGAGACAAGCCCAUUUCAUUUGACUAUAAAUUGUCAUUUGUUAUUAGUUAGCAAAUUACGAUUUUAUAUUGACACUAACAUUAAUAAGGUCAAUUUCUUUUAUUAUGACAUUGAUGAGCAACUAUUUCUAAUCUAAGAUUGAUCUUUUAACACAGAACAUAUUUGACAAAAUACAACGAAUUUGAUCGCAAAAGUAAGGCACAUUUCCAUGUGCAUUAACUAUCUCUAUGCAAAUACACAAAAAUAAGUUAUUAUUGAUAUAAGCCUCAAUAUAUCAACUUACCAUCGAACAUUUAUUUUAUUAGAUGUUUAGAUAAACAUAAGUUAGUUAUUAUUCACAUCUUUUAAGAUUCUCGCACACCUUUUAAAAAAGACACUUAGUAGCCUUAAUCAUAAGAGUACUUUUCUAAACUACGUACUUGCCAUCUCGUUAUACUUAAUUGACACUACACUAAUUUGAACAAGGAUAGAGUUGGGGAAAAUUAUUAUAAAUGAUUUUUUUUCUUUUCUAAUCAUAAUAUGUUUUGAAAUAAAUCCACUUUGAUAAAAAGAUAGAUUCUUGAGACCAUGGGGUAAAAUAAUGAAAUCAUUUUUUCACAACCUACAAAUAAUUAUUCUACUCUCAAACUCAAGUAUAAUGUGUAAAGUUCAUGACAUACAUCACCAUAUACCCCAAGGUAAUUAUUAUUCUUAAUUUUUGCUAUGGCUCAGAUUUAUAAAAUCAUAGUUUGCAGACAAAAAUAAAUGGCAAUUUAUUUAUUGUAACAGGUUGAUUGGUUUACAGUUAUUAGUCAGUAGCUAUUUGUCGUAGCAUUAGUUAUUUGUUUAGGCAGUAGUAUUUUGUUUAUAAUCAUACUUCAGUAGAUAUGUUGUUUAGUUAAGAUACUUUUUUAGUGUUUCGUUUGGAUUCUUCUAAGUGGAUGUAACUAUGUAUUCAACUUUUCAGUCAAUUGUAAAUGUCUGCUUUCAAAACAAACUCAGUCUUUAUAUGGUCUCGUAGCUUUCCAAGUGGCGAAGUCAUGGCCAUCCCGGAGUUUGAUUGGUAAUUGGGCUGUAUGGUUGAACUGGAUGAUAUUACUUGCACCCAUUGUGUUAUCAGCAUUGAUAACUCUCAGAUUGUUGCCAUUCUUGUUGGCCAUUGCUGCUGAUCUGCAUGAGAAAGGGGAGGAAAAAAAUGGAUUGUAUUUGUUAGAGCGUAUAGAGCCUUGAUACCACUGCACAUGCUUCAACCGAAUGUGAAAUACUAGUUUUUUGCUCAGGAAUAUGACACGAAAAUUAUCAUAAUAAAUGGUAGACAACUAAUGUAGUAGAAAGCGCAACCCACUCAAGAGAUUUAUAACCCACAAAAUUUUAGAGAAGGCAUUAGAAACUAAUCAAUAUUCAGACUCAGAGGAGGAGCGAGAGAUGGUGUUUUACUUUUCCUAGGACCAGCUAAUCAUGUUAUGACCAAGGAGCAAGAUGUAACUAGAGUUAUAAAUGCAACCAACAAUGCCUCCACCCUAAUCUACAUCAAAAUAUACAUGCAAAGCGAAGUCAUCGAUAUGAAUCACACGUAAGACCUAGGUGAAUUGUACCAUGAAGGCAGCAAAGAACACACUUCAUAGAUUUCCAAAGAAGGUGUGAUGGUGCCUGCAUGAACUUAGAGAUUUUGUUGGCCGCAUAGCCGAUGUCCGGCUUAGUAAACAACGAGUAUUGAAGUCUACCCAAAAACUCGAUGAUGGCAAGUUGCACAAGUCAAGUGAGUGCCAUCAGAUGGCAGAUGGGGUUAGUAGCUCAGUAGAAAUCAUUGGUGUGUGAACAUUUUUGCAGUCAUUCAUCAGUUUAUCAUUCAAGAUCACAUUCACAUAAUUUUCUUGAGUGAGGAUCAGGCCGUCAGAGCUAUGUAUCACUUCAACACUAAGAAUAUAGAGAAAGUUACCAAAAAUUUUCAUAGAGAAAUAGAGAAGCAAGAGAACGGAUGACUUGAUUGAAGCUAAAGUUGUUGCUCUUAGUGAAAUUGAUGUCAUCUACAUGGACAAGGACAAAUAAGGUGUCACCUAGACUAUGUCUGACAAGGAGUGUGACAUCCGAUUUUGUGUUAACAAAGCCCAUGGACAAAAGGUGAAUUAUGAGGGCAUUGUAUCAUGAUCAAGGAGCCUGCUUUAGAAAAUAGAUUGCCUUACAUUACCGACAUAAAUGUGUCGAUUUUCUAGCAGCACCAACCUGACCCAUAUAUUUCGGUAGCGUACGGAAAUCUAUUUCCUAAAGCAGGCUCCUUAGGCAUGUUACAAUGUCUUCACAAGUCACAUUUUUUCCAUGGGCUUUGUUAAGUCUAAAUCGUAUGCCUCACUCUUUGUCAAACGUGGUCUAACUAACACCUUGUUGUUCAUGUCUAUGUAGAUGACAUCAUUGUCACUAGGAGCAACAAAUUUAGCAUCAAUAUAGUCAUCCACUCUCUUGCUUCCCAUUUCUCUAUAAAAGAUUUAUGUAACCUUCACUAUAUUGUUGGUUUUGAAGUGAUACAAGGCUCUGACAUCCUGAUUCUCACUAAAGCGAAAAAAGCCAAUGUGAUCUUGAAUGAUAAACUGAUGACUGCAAAAAUGUUCACACACCAGUGAGUUCUACUGAGCUACUAACCCUAUUUGAUGGCACUCACUUGACUGAUGCAACUCGCCAUUGUCAAGUUUUUGGAUAGACUUCAAUACUUGUCGUUCACUAGGUGGGACAUCGGCUAUGCGGUUAACAAAUUGUGUUAAUUCAUGCAAGCACCAUCAGACCUUCACUGGAAAACUAUGAGUAUUCUUUGCUACCUUCAUGGUAUGAGCCACCUAGGUCUACAUGUGACUUGUAUCGGUGACUUCAAUCUGCAUAUAUAUUCCGAUGGAGGUUGGGGUGGAAACAUUGCUAGUCGCGUUUCUACCUCUGGCUACAUCUUAUACCUUGGUCACAAUCUAAUUAGCUAGUCCUCAAAGAAAUAAAAUAAUAUUUUUUUCACCCUCACUGAGUCUGAAUACCGAGUCAUUGCUAAUGCCCUCUCUAAAAACCUGUGGAUUACCAAUCUCUUAAAUUAGUUGCUCUUUCUAGUACACCAAUUGAUACGAGUACGAUCGCGUAGAUAAACUUAUGAGGGAGUAUGUUAGACCCGAGACUUGUUGUGUGCAAAUAAAGUGCAAAGGAGCACCUAAAUGGACACCAAAACUGUCUAUACAUAGCACUCAAAGGGCGUCUAUUGAAGCAUUUUGACUAAGGGGUCAUUUUGGAUAUUUCACACUUUAUUUUGUAACCUACUAUAAAUAGAAUAAUGUAGGGUUUUAGUCAUUAGUUUUUGUUGAAUAUUGAGAUUGUAACACUUGAAACUCUCUCUAUUGUGAGAAAGGCCCCCAUGGCCGAAACUUGUAACUCGGGAAAUCAACAUUGAGUGUGGAUUCACUCGUGUUGGACUCAAGCUUGAAAACGUUGGAUGCUUGGGAGAUUGAGGUCCUUCUUGUUCAAACGUAAGAGUUAGUUAUUUGUUGUGUGUGAUGUUAAAAGUCUAAGAGUGGAAUAGGCUUUUGGGUUUUUUAAGAUUAUACCUUCAAUUUGUCUUACUAUUUAUCCUUUUAUCUUCUUGUAAUCUUAUUUAGUGUUUGUGUUGUAAUCUUGUGUUCUUGUUGUUAUUGUUAAAUACGAAUCUUGUGUCUUCUUGUUUAUCAUCUUAUGUUCUUAAUCUAGUUUGUUGUCCGCUGAUUUGGUGUAAUAAAUACCUUGUUAUCUUCUUGUUAUUGUGCUCUUGGAAAGCCGAGAAUUAUCUCCAAAAGGGUUCACGGAUUUCUUUCAUUUUGUGGACCGUUUUUGGACUGAUUUUGUAUUUACGUUGUUUUUCUUGUAUCAUUUGGUAUCAGAGCAUGGCUUGAUAUUGUUCCCACAAUAUCAAUCUUGGUCUUGUUAGUUGAGAAAUCAAAAAAAAUUGUUAAAAAAAAAGUUAAAAUUUGAAAAUUCCAGAAAAAUAGCAAUCUGUCCAUUUUGUGUUCUUGGACAAAAAAUGUGUUCUUGUUGUGUAUUGGACAAUAUUUUUACUUGUCUUUGUUGUCUCUAAGUGUUAGUUUUGUUUCUCACUAACACGUUGAGUCUAUAUCUUAGAUUUGAGCUUGAAAUGUUGAUGUUGUUAAUGUGAACAAAGUGUGGCCGAUUGUAACGUGUGAUGUGUUGUUGGUUCAAGUUUUGAAUGUGUAUUGUGGGGAUUGUGUUUUGGAAUUUAAGCUUGGAAAGUUGUUGUUGUUGUUUAGGAGGUCCAACUUGAACCUUAGAACUUCAAGACUCAAAGUUUGUGCUCUUAGUGUUCUUCACCAUCUCCAUAUAUUGUUGAAAAAAAGUGGUUGUUGAUCUUAGAAGUUGAAGAAAAAGAGUGUGUAUUGUUUUAGUCUUGGAAAACAUAGAUCCAAGUUUCAAGGUGUAGUACUUGUGACUCAAAGACUUUUCCUACAUACUAAAGACUUUACAUCACUUCUCAACCACUUUUUCAUGAAACAAAGGUCCAUGUUUUAAGGAAAAGUACUACAAAAGUCAAGUCUUGAAAUUUGAAACUUGAAAAAAAGGCUCCAAGACUUAUUCUUCCCUCCUUAAAACAAAUUUCACCAAUCCAAAUUAAAAUUGAUCAAGACUUGGACUUUGGAAAAUAAAAAUUGUAGAAACCGCAAUCAAUACGUGGCUGCCCCAUCAUCAAGUUACUGCUCACGCAUCAAAUUUUGGCUCAAAUUUCAAAUUUUUUUUGUUUUUUUUUAGUACUCAUCUAAUAGAUUGUUAGUUAGUCUUUGUGUUCGUUCAUUCGUGUUUAGCAUUUGUUGUUUGCAUUUUUUUUUAUCUUUUAUGAAUUCAUUGUGUCUUGUUGGUUCAAGUCCGUAAACAAUUUUUCUUUUGAGUUAGCUCAAACAAAAAUCUAUUCCAAGAAAGAGUAGACUAGACCCUCAAUCACUCGCGAAGUACAAACCGACUUUCAACACUUGUGAAAUCAAGUGUGAGGUAAAAAUUAAGAGUGAGAGUGUGGUGAGGCAUUUUUGAGCUAACAAGUUUGUUUGUUGUUUGUUGUUGUCCUUUGCUUUAGGUACCAUGACUUCCACUAAUCUCGAUGCCACAUUUAAUCACAUUAAUGAUGAUAUUGAAGAAAUGAAAUGGCACGUAGAAAGGCUACGCCAAUUGUUACCUAAACUUAUCCCACAAAAUCCAACUUUCCUUGUCCAAACACCGUGUGCCGAGAGCUUCCUGAAGGAAGAGGUGGGAUGCCCC